Molecule: ribosomal RNA, 356 nt
Filed under: uncultured bacterium
Lineage: Bacteria
Description: bacterial SSU rRNA
Rfam family: Bacterial small subunit ribosomal RNA
Source: RNAcentral
GGAAGGUCCGGGCGUUAUCCGGAUUUAUUGGGUUUAAAGGGAGCGUAGGCCGGAGAUUAAGCGUGUUGUGAAAUGUAGAUGCUCAACAUCUGAACUGCAGCGCGAACUGGUUUCCUUGAGUACGCACAAAGUGGGCGGAAUUCGUGGUGUAGCGGUGAAAUGCUUAGAUAUCACGAAGAACUCCGAUUGCGAAGGCAGCUCACUGGAGCGCAACUGACGCUGAGGAACGAAAGCGUGGGUAGCGAACAGGAUUAGAUACCCUGGUAGUCCACGCCGUANACGGUGGGCGCUAGGUGUGGGUUCCUUCCACGGAAUCCGUGCCGUAGCUAACGCAUUAAGCGCCCCGCCUGGGGAGU